GGCGCGUUCGUCCAGUGGCCAGGACACCACGUUCUCACCGUGGGAACACGAGUUCGAUCCUCGUACGCGCUG
Molecule: transfer RNA, 72 nt
Filed under: Actinomadura graeca
Lineage: Bacteria; Bacillati; Actinomycetota; Actinomycetes; Streptosporangiales; Thermomonosporaceae
Description: Actinomadura sp. 32-07 tRNA-Glu
Rfam family: tRNA
About the family: Transfer RNA (tRNA) molecules are approximately 80 nucleotides in length. Their secondary structure includes four short double-helical elements and three loops (D, anti-codon, and T loops).
Source: RNAcentral